This 504-nucleotide long non-coding RNA is filed under the name Marmota monax (woodchuck). The record is from RNAcentral. Lineage: Eukaryota; Metazoa; Chordata; Mammalia; Rodentia; Sciuridae.
GAAGAGAAAAAAGGAUGAGCUUUAUAACAGCACAAAAAAAUCACAGCAUUCAUUAGUGUAAUGUUAGUUACAGGGUCAAGGUAUCCAUAGGUGGGAUGUGGAGCAAGCAGUAACCAAUAGGAAAGAACAAAUUUUGAAGAAAAAACAUGCAGAAAUUUUUAAAAAGUUACCAAAAGUGAAUUAUUACAUAGGGUCUUGAUUUUCUUUUUUCUAAUUUUCUUACUUUUCUUUCUUAAAAUUGUCCGUUUUUAAUUAUUUUUAAAAUUAGAAAUUUUCCUUAUACACUGAAAAUGAGUUUCAUUUCAAAUGUUUAAAGAGAAAUAAUGAACAGUAAUGCCCGAUUCCUCUUAUUUAUUGUUCUUUGAGGCUCAAGCAGAGAGAGACCUGUCCUUCAAAGUUCUGCAUCAGGUAGCAAUAGGUGGGAUGUGGAGCAAGCAGUAACCAAGAACAUAACCACGGGGGUCUGUGCCGGUGAGUUUCUACCUUGUCCUUGUAGCUGAGUUU